UACUUCAACCAAAAUAUGUAAAUGAAGAAAUACUGUAUUUAAACAUUUGCACAUUUACCUCUACCUGAAACAUGUGAAUGUCAACACUUCAUACUUCAUGGAUAGUAGUCCUUCAUAAAAACAAAUAUUGUUAAUCAAGUUUUAAAGUUACUUUAUUUUUCUUUGAAUGUUUAAUGAUUUAAUAGCUACUGUUUUAUGUCAUUUUGUCCUCGUAUCCUGCUUUUACUAAAGCAACUUAACUAAUAAGUUGCUUAAUUCCACAACAAACUGUUAUUAUUUUCUUCAGGAAGUUGUAUGAUACAUAUUUUUUCCCCAAAUGGAAGGAUGUAGUUUCUAGACAUUAAGUUAGUUAUACAAAUGCUUACCUGUUAGUUUUGCUACUUAUACUUUAAAAUGAAAGCCUUUAAAUUUUAGAAAACGAAUUUAAGAUUCUACUUUAAUGCAUUAGACUAGUUUUUAAUUAAAGUAGUGAGCACUUAUCUAGUGGUGAAGUUAAAUUAAAUAGAAUUGAUUUCAUGGUUGAACCAGAAGUCUUCUGUUGAGUAAGCAGUAAGUAUUCUUUCUUAUAAAAUUUUUAUAGCUAUAAAUUGUUUAUUUUUGGAGCUAGAAACUAAACCAUCUGCCUCAUUUCUUCUUUUAAUGAAAU
RNAcentral lists this long non-coding RNA (646 nucleotides) under Bos taurus (domestic cattle). RNAcentral's name for it is "long non-coding RNA NONBTAT018625". The record is from RNAcentral. Lineage: Eukaryota; Metazoa; Chordata; Mammalia; Artiodactyla; Bovidae.